This 480-nucleotide long non-coding RNA is filed under the name Jatropha curcas. RNAcentral describes it as "long non-coding RNA (JCUR_LNC003209)". The record is from RNAcentral. Lineage: Eukaryota; Viridiplantae; Streptophyta; Magnoliopsida; Malpighiales; Euphorbiaceae.
UUAGUUACACAUAGUACUUAAAUAAAACCCAAUAAUACUUGAUAAAUAUUCCAUAAUCAAUAAAGAUAAUGAAAGAAAUAAACAAGAUUAAGAGUUUAGAAAUAAGAACUAGUGAUAAAUUGCUUGGAUGGCUUCCUUGAAACUUUGCACAACUCUUGAAUACUUAACUUCUAAAAACAAACUAUAUACAAAGCUAUAAAAUGAGAUAAAGAGUAUGGAGUGUAGUGUAAUAUGUGGGACGGGAUCUCUACAAUGCAUCCUUCCUCUCUUUAUAUAGACUUCUUGGGAGAGAACUUCUACAUUGUUUAGGGAAUAAAUUCCACCUUGUUUAUGGAAUAAAGUUCUCAAUCAAGCCUUAAAUUUCUCUCAAUCAUGUCUUCCAUGUGCAUAAAUUAAGGCUUGAUUUGUAUGUGAAGAAAGUUGUCCAAGAUUAGCUCUUGAAAUUGGUGAAAAUUGGUUGGCAACUUUUGACUUAGUUUA